Molecule: ribosomal RNA, 468 nt
Filed under: uncultured bacterium
Lineage: Bacteria
Description: partial 16S ribosomal RNA
Rfam family: Bacterial small subunit ribosomal RNA
Source: RNAcentral
GACGAACGCUGGCGGCGUGCUUAACACAUGCAAGUCGAACGGAAAGGCCCUGCUUUUGUGGGGUGCUCGAGUGGCGAACGGGUGAGUAACACGUGAGUAACCUGCCCUUGACUUUGGGAUAACUUCAGGAAACUGGGGCUAAUACCGGAUAGGAGCUCCUGCUGCAUGGUGGGGGUUGGAAAGUUUCGGCGGUUGGGGAUGGACUCGCGGCUUAUCAGCUUGUUGGUGGGGUAGUGGCUUACCAAGGCUGUGACGGGUAGCCGGCCUGGGAGGGUGACCGGCCACAUUGGGACUGAGAUACGGACCAGACUCCUACGGGAGGCAGCAGUGGGGAAUAUUGCGCAAUGGGCGGGAGCCUGAUGCAGCAACGCCGCGUGCGGGAUGACGGCCUUCGGGUUAUGAACAGCUUUCGCCUGUGACGCAGCGUGAGUGACGGUAAUGGGUAAAGAAGCACCGGCUAACUACGUG